Xenopus tropicalis (tropical clawed frog) is the source of this 1492-nucleotide long non-coding RNA. RefSeq lists it as uncharacterized. The record is from RefSeq and is a predicted model, not a curated record. Lineage: Eukaryota; Metazoa; Chordata; Amphibia; Anura; Pipidae. The transcript has 4 exons.
CGUGUUCCCGUUGCAUGCUGGGGGUUGUAGUUCGUAGCUUAAUUAGACGCCGCGCAUAGGCACGCGUUAAAAACUACGUUUUCUAGAAUCUCUUGGGGGUGAGAUUGAUUUCUCUUUAAACCUGCUAUGUGCGGCUCUCUCACCUGGCCCUUGUACGUUGCCUUUCCUGCCCGCUUGUGCCCUGUGAAGAGAUAGAUCGUGAGUUUUGUCUCUGGCAAGGCAUGAUGGCACACGGCAGAUAGAUCUUUGAUCUUGCUGGGCUCAGAGGCCUUCACCUCAACCUCUCAGAAACAGAAAACCCAAGUAACUGGAUUUCUGUAAGGACCAAGAAAACAGAGGGGAAUGCUGCAUAGAAUGCCUACCAGGAUAAAGUCAAUAAAAGUUGUCUGACUUUUUGGGAUGCCAUUUUGCAGCUGAGUUCCAGGACAAUUUUUGGGGUUUUCCUUAUGUCCCAUUAGCCCUGGUCAUGAUGUGCUGCAGAGGAGGAAGUUGCUUAUUGUUUUAUAUGGUUGGCGCAUUUCACAAUUGUGACACAAAGGUUUUCCUUGUCCUUUAACAGUCCUCUUAGCGUACUAUGGCCUUCAUAAAACGACUUAUAGCCUUGUGUCCUUGUGUACUUCUGGAACUUUUUGUGACUUCUAAUAUCCUUAUCAGGGGAAUAAGGUACCUCCACUUCUCCAGUAGAGAAUUCGGGUGCACAAUCAAAGGAUGUCUUAUAUGAAUAAGAAGGAUCAGCACUUUCAUGAUACUUUAUUCCACAUGAUAAUACAGUAUCAUAUCUGAUACUUUCCCCAAACGUUGGAUGUGAUACUAUAUUAUCAUGUGGAAUAAAGAAUCAUGAACACGAUACCAGGAGAGUGCUAAUCCAUCUCUUAUAUAUAUAAGUAGUAAUUGUAACUUACGUAUUUACAGAAUCAUUUUCAUUUACAUUGAGACUUUCACAGCAGCUAAUAAAUGCUUGUGAAAGAGCAGGAAAUGGCUGAAGAGCCUACAGCAAAUCUCAGACAGAGAGAACAAGGAAAUAAGACAGGUUGCUGUGGGGAACCAUCCAUUUGACCUUAGACUUAUACACAAAAUGGAAUGUCUCCUAGUCCCAAAUUUUAGUCCCAUGGCCCCUAGUGGUUCCUGGGUUCCUGAUGGACUCCCGUUCCUCACAAAUGUAAAUGAAAAAGAGGACCAUCUCCAGCAUCUCCCUUACUUCCUGCUUACCUUGCAAAGGAAUUAUGGGAGUUGUAGUAGCUCAGCAGUUAAGUUAAAGUGAUCAAUUUGUAUUAUCCUGGGGAAAAAUUACUAUGACAUAAUACCAGAAAGUGUCCUAAAAUAGCCAAAAUAGCAACUCUCAAUAGCAACUAUGUGACGAAGGUAUUCAUCAAAACAAUUCAAAAUAGGUAUGGUGUACAGAAUGUGAGCCUUUAAUUGCAAUGCAGGUAUGGGACCUGGUAUCUGGAAUGCUUGGGACCUGGGGUUUUCCACAUAAGGGAUCCUUCCAUAA